This 464-nucleotide ribosomal RNA is filed under the name uncultured bacterium. Its description in RNAcentral is "partial 16S ribosomal RNA". It matches the Rfam family "Bacterial small subunit ribosomal RNA", at positions 339 to 795 of the family's 1533-position model. The record is from RNAcentral.
CUACGGGAUGCACCAGUGGGGAAUAUUGCACAAUGGGCGCAAGCCUGAUGCAGCCAUGCCGCGUGUAUGAAGAAGGCCUUCGGGUUGUAAAGUACUUUCAGCGGGGAGGAAGGGAGUAAAGUUAAUACCUUUGCUCAUCGACGUUACCCGCAGAAGAAGCACCGGCUAACUCCGUGCCAGCAGCCGCGGUAAUACGGAGGGUGCAAGCGUUAAUCGGAAUUACUGGGCGUAAAGCGCACGCAGGCGGUUUGUUAAGUCAGAUGUGAAAUCCCCGGGCUCAACCUGGGAACUGCAUCUGAUACUGGCAAGCUGGAGUCUCGUAGAGGGGGGUAGAAUUCCAGGUGUAGCGGUGAAAUGCGUAGAGAUCUGGAGGAAUACCGGUGGCGAAGGCGGCCCCCUGGACGAAGACUGACGCUCAGGUGCGAAAGCGUGGGGAGCAAACAGGAUUAGAUACCCCGGUAGUC